GGGUUAGUAGGUUGGUCAUGCCUCUGGUAUGUACUGGUCUCACUGAUUCCUCCUUCCUGAUGAACCGUAAUGCCAUUAAUUUGGUGUUGCGGGGAAUUUGGACUGUUACUUUGAAAAAAUUAGAGUGUUUAAAGCAGACUAUCGUCUGAAUACAUUAGCAUGGAAUGAUGAAAUAGGACGGACUGAUUCUAUUUCGUUGGUUUCUAGGAUCACCGUA
Molecule: unclassified non-coding RNA, 217 nt
Filed under: uncultured Glomus
Lineage: Eukaryota; Fungi; Glomeromycota; Glomeromycetes; Glomerales; Glomeraceae
Description: sequence contains 18S rRNA gene
Rfam family: Eukaryotic small subunit ribosomal RNA
Source: RNAcentral